RNAcentral lists this long non-coding RNA (794 nucleotides) under Salvia miltiorrhiza (redroot sage). Its description in RNAcentral is "long non-coding RNA (SMIL_LNC000586)". Lineage: Eukaryota; Viridiplantae; Streptophyta; Magnoliopsida; Lamiales; Lamiaceae. The record is from RNAcentral.
CCGUAUAACGUUUCACGCCUCACCCCUCCGAUUCUUUUUCCAGCUUUCAGAAAACAAUUUUCGGUGCCUUAAUUACCCUCCGACUUCUAUAUUCAAAACUCGAUUUCAAGGUCAAAAAUUCUCAGCCGCCUGUUUUUUCACAUUCGCUACUCUCUGAAGCUCGCGACGACGAAGAAGCAGAUCGAAGAAUUGCUGGAGAACGGUAAGAACCCAAACUUUAUAAAUUGGUUUGGAUUCAUCAAUCUAAUCUUUCGUUCCUAUUGUUUGUGAUGUCCUUUUGGUUUUGAGAGCUAAGGUUUCCCCACCAUUUUUUGAUUCGCAAAAUGGAAGUUGAUUUCAUUGCUUUGAUUUCAACAUUUUUUGAGAGCUAAGGUUCCCCCACCAUUUUUAGGGUUUGAUUCGCAAAAUAGAAGUUGAUUUAAUUGCUUUGAUUUCAACAUUUUUUGAAUCUUUCUAUCUGUUUCACACGAACUUCUGCAAUUAGGAAGACAAGAAUUUUGAUUUGGUUUGGAUAAACGGCCACGCAGUGUGCAUCUACAUAUGUAGCGAUUAAUGUGUCUGAAAUUAGGAAGACAAGAACUUGAAUCUCAAAUUGGUUGCUCUCUGACCCAGAUAUUGGGCAUUCGUGCAUCUACAUAUUUGGCAGUUGUGCACCUAGAUAUUGGGUUAUCUCAGUUCCUAAUAUUGGGUUAAGCUCAUCUGUUCUUUGUUUCGUAGACGACAUCGUUGUGGAAUACAUACCAGCGGCGCAGAGACGGUAGGCUUGGUUGGGCAUUGCAUUGCAACAAUUGAAG